Molecule: ribosomal RNA, 445 nt
Filed under: uncultured bacterium
Lineage: Bacteria
Description: partial 16S ribosomal RNA
Rfam family: Bacterial small subunit ribosomal RNA
Source: RNAcentral
GUAGGGAAUAUUGGGCAAUGGAUGCAAGUCUGACCCAGCCAUCCCGCGUGCCGGAAGAAGGCCCUCAGGGUUGUAAACGGCUUUUGACGGUGAAGAAUCGACAGGAUGCGUCCUGUUUUGACGGUAGCCGUUGAAUAAGCACCGGCUAACUCCGUGCCAGCAGCCGCGGUAAUCCGGAGGGUGCGAGCGUUGUCCGGAUUUAUUGGGUUUAAAGGGUGCGUAGGCUGGAAGGUCAGUCAGCGGUGAAAAGCUGUCGCUUAACGAUAGUCUUGCCGCAGAUACUUCCUUUCUUGGAUGAGGAGGAGGCCACUGGAACGGAUGGUGUAGCGGUGAAAUGCAUAGAUAUCAUCCAGAACACCGAUUGCGAAGGCAGGUGGCUGUACCUUAAUCGACGCUGAUGCACGAAAGCAUGGGGAGCAAACAGGAUUAGAAACCCUGGUAGUCC